GCCUCGGUAACUCAGCUGGUAGAGUACUACCUUGGUAAGGUAGAAGUCGCGGGUCCGAAUCCCGUCCGAGGCU
This 73-nucleotide transfer RNA is filed under the name Candidatus Bathyarchaeota archaeon. RNAcentral's name for it is "tRNA-Thr". It matches the Rfam family "tRNA". Rfam says of the family: Transfer RNA (tRNA) molecules are approximately 80 nucleotides in length. Their secondary structure includes four short double-helical elements and three loops (D, anti-codon, and T loops). Lineage: Archaea; Thermoproteati; Candidatus Bathyarchaeota. The record is from RNAcentral.